RNAcentral lists this long non-coding RNA (1478 nucleotides) under Homo sapiens (human). Its description in RNAcentral is "HSALNT0059892". Lineage: Eukaryota; Metazoa; Chordata; Mammalia; Primates; Hominidae. The record is from RNAcentral.
AGGAGGGCUGAGGUGGGAGGGCUGCUUGAUCCCAGGAGGCAGAGGCUGCAGUGAGCCAUGACGGUGCCACUUGCUCCACCCUGGGUGACAGAGCAAGAUCCUGCCUCAAAACAACAACAACAACAAAACCUGAACAUCUCCAUAUUUCCGACACUCAAUUCAAGAAACAAAAUAUUAGAGCCCCUUCCAGGAUAUUCCUGGGGUCUCUUCCAUCUCUACUAACCCCUGACUACAAACAGCCUCCACCUAUUUCACCUGACAUUGUACUUUAUGAAAGCAGCAGUUCUCAGAUGGGGCUAUUUUGCCCCCUGGGGACAUUAGGCAAUAUCUGGGGACAAUGCGGUUUGUCUCUACUUGGGGGGGGUUGUGUUACUGCAUCCAGUGAGUCCAGGGAUCCAGGGAUGCCGUUCAACAUCCUAAAAUGCACAGGGAACCCCCACACAUAGAACAGAGAAAUUGCUGAGCCAAAAUGUCAGCAGUGUCACAGCUGACACGCUGACAUACACACAAUCACACAGUAUCUGCUCUUUCGUGCUCAGGAUCUCUUUCAUUCUAAUCAUCUCAUAGGAAACAGAAAUGUCAUUUGGAGGUAGGUAGAGUCCAAAACAAAGAAGAUCCAGAGUUUUUUUUUUAAUCAGCCUGGUGCCUUUAGAGCUAGGAUUUAUUUUCCAUUCUUUCUGUCUCAUUUUCAAGUGAUUUUUCUUCAAAUGGCAUCUGCUGGGCUCAACACCCAGAGAUCCCCACAAAGCUGAGAUUCACAUGGGAAUUUUGUACACACCCACACAGGUAUACACUGCCAUUUACAUGCAGACAUCCACCCACAGAUACACACAUCCGGAGACCAAGACAGAAAGCAAACUCCAGCAUAAAAGCAUGGUUCCCCGAACAGGAGAAAUGCACCAUUCACUCCAGGGAGGUACCUAUUUGUUUAAUUCAGCCUCUGAUAGUCAGGCUGUUGCCAAGCCCAGCUCUGAAAGUCUUCCCCUCUAGGAAAGAGAGAUGGAUUUUUUCUUUACUCAAUAAUAUAGAUCUAAAAAAAACAAACACUUCUGCAUCUCAAAGCAGGCUCUACCUCCUGAGCUACACAUAUUGAUCAGCAUUUUAUUGUCAAUUUUCUUUUAUUUGAACUGGAGAAAAAUAUAACCUAAUUAUGUUCUUACUGACACUUUGGAAUCAGUUACACUAAAUCCAAUUCUCUGGGUUCUCAUGCUUAAUGUGUUUAAUUUGGGGGACAACAAAGCAAAAGCAUUGGUCGUGUUUUAAUAUAAUCAGUACAGGAUAUAUCUAAGGGGUUCAAGUAUCACUGUAGCAAGAAGCUCAUUCUGCAGUAAAAGGGGGAUUCUGCCACUAGGAUUGAGUUAGGGUGGUUCAUGGCUGCACCAUUUCAUCAAUGUCUCUUCAAGGGUCCAUGGAAUGUGGAAUGGGAAAGACUGAAAUAUUCCAAGUCUUGGCUAAGCUUUUCUUAAGGGGUGUUAGGA